UACGAAGGGGGCUAGCGUUGCUCGGAAUCACUGGGCGUAAAGCGCACGUAGGCGGGUCCUUAAGUCGGGGGUGAAAUCCUGGAGCACAACUCCAGAACUGCCUUCGAUACUGAGGAUCUCGAGUCCGGGAGAGGUGAGUGGAACUCCGAGUGUAGAGGUGAAAUUCGUAGAUAUUCGGAAGAACACCAGUGGCGAAGGCGGCUCACUGGCCCGGUACUGACGCUGAGGUGCGAAAGCGUGGGGAGCAAACAGG
This 253-nucleotide ribosomal RNA is filed under the name uncultured bacterium. RNAcentral's name for it is "partial 16S ribosomal RNA". It matches the Rfam family "Bacterial small subunit ribosomal RNA", at positions 524 to 776 of the family's 1533-position model. The record is from RNAcentral.